GAUGAAGAACGUAGCGAAAUGCGAUAAGUAAUGUGAAUUGCAGAAUUCAGUGAAUCAUCGAAUCUUUGAACGCACCUUGCACCCUUUGGCAUUCUGAAGGGUAUGCUCGUUUGAGUGUCAUUGUACUCUCACACUCCCGAUCUUUGCAUUGGGAGCAGUGGACUUGGGUUUGCUGCUUCACCGUCGCUUACCUCAAAUAGGUUAGUGCAACUCUUGGUUGGACAUAGUACGGCGUGAUAAGUGCUCUUCGCCGGUGCCUCGCAAAGAGGGUGGCCGAUCGGGAUGUUGUGCUCCAAACCGUCUUCGGACAAUCUCUGACGACUUGACCUCAAAUCGAGUAAGACUACCCGCUGAACUUAAGCAUAUCAAUAAGCGGAGGA
RNAcentral lists this unclassified non-coding RNA (380 nucleotides) under soil metagenome. RNAcentral describes it as "partial contains 5.8S ribosomal RNA, internal transcribed spacer 2, and large subunit ribosomal RNA". The stretch from base 1 to 120 matches the Rfam family "5.8S ribosomal RNA", at positions 35 to 154 of the family's 154-position model. The record is from RNAcentral.